This 497-nucleotide ribosomal RNA is filed under the name uncultured bacterium. RNAcentral describes it as "partial 16S ribosomal RNA". It matches the Rfam family "Bacterial small subunit ribosomal RNA", at positions 28 to 507 of the family's 1533-position model. The record is from RNAcentral.
GACGAACGCUGGCGGCGUGCCUAAUACAUGCAAGUUGAGCGCUGAAGGUUGGUACUUGUACCAACUGGAUGAGCAGCGAACGGGUGAGUAACGCGUGGGGAAUCUGCCUUUGAGCGGGGGACAACAUUUGGAAACGAAUGCUAAUACCGCAUAAAAACUUUAAACACAAGUUUUAAGUUUGAAAGAUGCAAUUGCAUCACUCAAAGAUGAUCCCGCGUUGUAUUAGCUAGUUGGUGAGGUAAAGGCUCACCAAGGCGAUGAUUCAUAGCCGACCUGAGAGGGUGAUCGGCCACAUUGGGACUGAGACACGGCCCAAACUCCUACGGGAGGCAGCAGUAGGGAAUCUUCGGCAAUGGACGAAAGUCUGACCGAGCAACGCCGCGUGAGUGAAGAAGGUUUUCGGAUCGUAAAACUCUGUUGGUAGAGAAGAACGUUGGUGAGAGUGGAAAGCUCAUCAAGUGACGGUAACUACCCAGAAAGGGGCGGCUAACUACGUG